RNAcentral lists this ribosomal RNA (459 nucleotides) under uncultured bacterium. Its description in RNAcentral is "partial 16S ribosomal RNA". It matches the Rfam family "Bacterial small subunit ribosomal RNA", at positions 338 to 795 of the family's 1533-position model. The record is from RNAcentral.
CCUACGGGAGGCAGCAGUGAGGAAUAUUGGUCAAUGGCCGUAAGGCUGAACCAGCCAAGUCGCGUGAAGGAAGAAGGAUCUAUGGUUUGUAAACUUCUUUUAUAGGGGAAUAAAGGUAUCCACGUGUGAUAUUUGCAUGUACCCUAUGAAUAAGCAUCGGCUAACUCCGUGCCAGCAGCCGCGGUAAUACGGAGGAUGCGAUCGUUAUCCGGGAUUAUUGGGUUUAAAGGGUGCGUAGGUUGUUUUUUAAGUCAGCGGUGAAAGUUUGUGGCUCAACCAUAAAAUUGCCGUUGAAACUGGAAGACUGGAGUGUGUUUGAGGUAGGCGGAAUGCGUGGUGUAGCGGUGAAAUGCAUAGAUAUCACGCAGAACUCCGAUUGCGAAGGCAGCUUACUAAGCCAUAACUGACACUGAAGCACGAAAGCGUGGGGAUCAAACAGGAUUAGAUACCCCAGUAGUC